AAUCACCUACGGGAGGCAGCAGUAGGGAAUCUUCCACAAUGGACGAAAGUCUGAUGGAGCAACGCCGCGUGAGUGAAGAAGGGUUUCGGCUCGUAAAGCUCUGUUGGUAGUGAAGAAAGAUAGAGGUAGUAACUGGCCUUUAUUUGACGGUAAUUACUUAGAAAGUCACGGCUAACUACGUGCCAGCAGCCGCGGUAAUACGUAGGUGGCAAGCGUUGUCCGGAUUUAUUGGGCGUAAAGCGAGUGCAGGCGGUUCAAUAAGACUGAU
RNAcentral lists this ribosomal RNA (268 nucleotides) under uncultured bacterium. RNAcentral's name for it is "partial 16S ribosomal RNA". It matches the Rfam family "Bacterial small subunit ribosomal RNA", at positions 333 to 593 of the family's 1533-position model. The record is from RNAcentral.